GGGUGGUGCCUGACAAAGGUCACUGUCCAGAGCAGCUGGGCCCGAGGGGAGGGCAUGGCAUUGGCCACGGCUUGGUUCAGCUCGGCUCAGUGACAAGGGAGCCCCUCCCAGGUGCUGGGGGAUCUGAGAUAGUUUGUCAGCAACAUCCGGCCCCAUGACCGAAGUAUUAUGAAGGAACAAUGAAGCUCUUGGACCUAGAAAACAGGGCAGGGGAGAGAAAGGAAUCUAAGGAGAUUUGAGGAACAGAAGUGGACCCAAAGACUAACAAAGGCCCUCAUCGAUCGUUCCAGAGAAGAAUCAAUCAGAAAGCCCAUGUGUCCCUGACCACCUGUGUGCUGGCUCUCCUGUUGGACAUCACAGGAGGAUUCUGAAGAAUCUGAGAACUACAAUGGAGUAGGAAAGCCCUGGUCUUUCCUUCCACUCUGCCUCAAGGAGAGAAUACAGAGAGAAGCAGGGCUUUGAUUUGGGAACCUGGGUCCCCGAAGAUUGGAGAGUUUUCUCAGAGAGUUCAGAGAUGG
This is a long non-coding RNA of Heterocephalus glaber (naked mole-rat), 518 nucleotides long. The record is from Ensembl. NCBI's taxonomy places the organism in Eukaryota, Metazoa, Chordata, Mammalia, Rodentia, Bathyergidae.